This is a long non-coding RNA of Anopheles gambiae (African malaria mosquito), 997 nucleotides long. RefSeq lists it as uncharacterized. NCBI's taxonomy places the organism in Eukaryota, Metazoa, Arthropoda, Insecta, Diptera, Culicidae. The record is from RefSeq and is a predicted model, not a curated record. The transcript has 3 exons.
UAGGAAGACAGGAAAUAUGUAUCAUCGGGCGAAUAAAUAUUCGAUAUUGAGUCCAUCACGCCAAGACCAGCAGAAGGCAAGCUCAAGUCGACACAACGUAGAGGAAUUUAGUGCCGCAUAUGAAUGGCAAAAUCAAUAUGAUGAUGCAAUGGAGGAUGGCCAUCAGGAUACCGUGCAGCACGAUGAAGGGGAUUCUGUGCAGGAUGGCGAUGCAAACUUCACGGAUGAUAGCGAUGUCGAAGCUGGUAGUGCGUUAAAUAUUGAUAAUAUGUCUAUAGAGGAUGGGAUACGAUAUUGGGCACUAUCGAAUAAUCAAACCCAUCAGUCGAUAAAUAUGGUGCUGCGUCUGUUCAAAAAAACAGGCGUGAAAGUACCGGCAUCUGCCAAAACGCUGCUUAAAACUAAAUCUAUCAUCGGAGAUAAAGGAUAUCGAUGGUGGACAAUUUUGGUAUCGAGGAUUCAGAAGUUGCCUAUUAAAUUACUUCCGGUAAGUAGAUACACACCAUUUUUUUUUUACUUGAUCGAAUUACAGCUAAUCAUUAUCUCCUUUUAUUUGCAAAUCAGUAAAGGUACCUCCUAAUUGUAUUACUUUAACAUUGUCGAUUGAUGGAUUGCCUCUACAUAACAGCAGUAAUAUGCAAUUUUGGCCGAUAUUGUUCAAAAUCGAAGAACUCCCACAAGCUCCAGUUAUGGCAGCCGCAUUUUUUUGUGGAUUUCAGAAACCAAACAAUAUAGAAGAGUUUCUUCGACCAGCCGUUGAUGAGCUAAGCCUUCUAAUGGCGAAUGGUAUCAUCAUUCACGGAAAGAAAGUUGUUGUGAAAAUGCGUGCUAUUGUUGCAGAUACUCCUGCCAGAGCUUUUAUUAAAGGUGUAAAAGGGCAUACCGGCUAUAACGCCUGUUUAAAAUGCACCGUUGAAGGGAAUCAUAGCGAGGCUGGACACACCAUCGUUUAUGCAAAUGAUUCAAAUGCAAGAAAACGAACAAAUGAAAAAUUCCG